UACGUAGGGGGCAAGCGUUGUCCGGAAUCAUUGGGCAUAAAGAGCGUGUAGGCGGCUCGAUAAGUCUGCUGUGAAAGUCCAGGGCUCAACCCUGGAAGGCCGGUGGAAACUGUCGGGCUAGAGUCCGGAAGAGGCGAGUGGAAUUCCCGGUGUAGCGGUGAAAUGCGCAGAUAUCGGGAGGAACACCAAUGGCGAAGGCAGCUCGCUGGGACGGUACUGACGCUGAGACGCGAAAGCGUGGGGAGCAAACAGG
Molecule: ribosomal RNA, 253 nt
Filed under: uncultured bacterium
Lineage: Bacteria
Description: partial 16S ribosomal RNA
Rfam family: Bacterial small subunit ribosomal RNA
Source: RNAcentral